UGGAAUCGCUAGUAAUCGCGAAUCAGAAUGUCGCGGUGAAUACGUUCCCGGGUCUUGUACACACCGCCCGUCACACCAUGGGAGUCGGGAAUGCCCGAAGUCAGUGACCCAACCUAUUGGAGGGAGCUGCCGAAGGCAGGUCUGAUAACUGGGGUGAAGUCGUAACAAGGUACC
This 174-nucleotide ribosomal RNA is filed under the name uncultured bacterium. RNAcentral's name for it is "partial 16S ribosomal RNA". It matches the Rfam family "Bacterial small subunit ribosomal RNA", at positions 1327 to 1500 of the family's 1533-position model. The record is from RNAcentral.